This 1534-nucleotide long non-coding RNA is filed under the name Homo sapiens (human). Its description in RNAcentral is "non-protein coding lnc-MAP9-11:1". Lineage: Eukaryota; Metazoa; Chordata; Mammalia; Primates; Hominidae. The record is from RNAcentral.
AUGUUCAUCAAUCGUUGAUUGUUUUCAACUAACCACAAAGAUAUCGGAACACUAUACCUGCUAUGGCGCCUGAACCGGGAUAGUAGGCACGGCCUUAAGCCUUCUAAUUCGAGCAGAACUAGGUCAACCAGGAACUCUGUUAGGAGAUGAUCAGAUCUACAAUGUUAUUGUUACCGCCCACGCAUUUCGUUAUAAUUUUCUUUAUGGUAACACCGAUCAUGAUAGGGGUUUUUGGCAACUGGCUAGUCCCUCCGACUAUUGGUUGACUCGACAUGGCAUUCCCCUGAAUAAAUAAUAUCAGCUUCUGGCUUUUCCCCCUAACUUUUCUACUCCUACUUGAGUCUUCAAUAGUAGAAGCCAGUGCUGGAACCACCUGGACAGUUUGUCCCCCUUUAGCAGGAAACCUAGCACAUGCAGAAGCCUCUGUGGCUCUGACCAUCUUCUCGUUCCACUUAGCAGGUGUUUUUUUCUAUUUUAGGGGCCAUUAAUUUUAUUAUUAAUUAUUAACAUAAAACCCCCAACCAUAUCCCAGUAUCAAACACCGCUUUUCGUCUGAUCAGUCCUCAUUAUGGCAGUCCUUCUACUCCUUUCCCUCCCAGUCCUAGCCGCCGGCAUUGCUAUGCUAUUAACUGACCAUAACCUCAACACUACUUCUUUUGACCCUGCUUGUGGGGUGACCCCAUCUUGUUCCAACAUUUAUUCUGAUUCUUUGGUCGCCCUGAAGUCUGCAUCCUUAUCCUACCAGGCUUCAGGAUAAUCUCCCACAUCGCAACAUAUUAUUCUGGAAAAAAGGAACCAUUUGUGUACAUGGGCAUAGUAUGAGCCAUGAUAUCAAUUGGCAUCUUUGGAUUUAUCGUAUGGGCUCACCAUAUAUUUACAGUAGGAACAGACAUAGACACACUAGCAUACUUCACCUCCGCUGCCAUAAUAAUUGCCAUCCCUACUGGCAUCAAGGUCUUUAGCUGAUUAGCUACCCUGCACUGUGGUAACAUCAGAUGAUCUCCCGCAAUAUUCUGAGCCCUAGGAUUCAUUUUCCUUUUCAGAGUGGGAGGUUUAACCGAUAUUGUACUAGCUAAUUCAUCACUAGAUAUUGUCUUACACAACACAUACUAUGUUGUAGCCCAUUUCCACUACCUUCUAUCAAUAGGAGCAAUAUUUGCCAUUACAGGAGGCUUUGCCACUGAUUCCCCCUAUUUUCAGGUUAUACAUUUAAUCAGACCUAUGCUAAAAUCCACUUCACCAUUAUAUUCAUAGGUGUUAACUUAACCUUUUUUCCACAGCACUUCCUCAGCCUAUCGGGUAUGCCUCGACGUUACUCCAAUUACUCUGAUGUGUACGCCACAUGAAAUAUUAUCUCAUCCGUAGGCUCAUUUAUCUCACUAACAGCUGUUAUACUAAUAAUCAUUAUGAUCUGAGAGGCCUUUGCUUCAAAAUGAAAAGUACAAUUGUGCAAUCACCUACUAAUUUAGAGUGACUUUACAGCUGUCCACCACCUUACCACACAUUUGAAGAGCCAACCUGUGUGAAAACCUAA